This 472-nucleotide ribosomal RNA is filed under the name uncultured bacterium. RNAcentral's name for it is "partial 16S ribosomal RNA". It matches the Rfam family "Bacterial small subunit ribosomal RNA", at positions 28 to 507 of the family's 1533-position model. The record is from RNAcentral.
GACGAACGCUGGCGGCGUGCUUAACACAUGCAAGUCGAGCGGAAAGGCCCUUCGGGGUACUCGAGCGGCGAACGGGUGAGUAACACGUGAGUAAUCUGCCCUUGGCUUUGGGAUAACUACCGGAAACGGUGGCUAAUACCGGAUACGACAACCGUCUGCAUGGGCUGGUUGUGGAAAGUUUUUUCGGCCAGGGAUGUGCUCGCGGCCUAUCAGCUUGUUGGUGGGGUAAUGGCCUACCAAGGCUUCGACGGGUAGCCGGCCUGAGAGGGUGACCGGCCACACUGGGACUGAGACACGGCCCAGACUCCUACGGGAGGCAGCAGUGGGGAAUAUUGGACAAUGGGCGGAAGCCUGAUCCAGCAACGACGCGUGAGGGAUGACGGCCUUCGGGUUGUAAACCUCUUUCAGUACCGACGAAGCGCCGAUGAUGGUGGUGACGGUAGGUACAGAAGAAGCACCGGCCAACUACGUG